Molecule: unclassified non-coding RNA, 326 nt
Filed under: Chytridiomycota sp.
Lineage: Eukaryota; Fungi; Chytridiomycota
Description: partial contains small subunit ribosomal RNA, internal transcribed spacer 1, and 5.8S ribosomal RNA
Rfam family: Eukaryotic small subunit ribosomal RNA (bases 1-47)
Source: RNAcentral
AAAGUCGUAACAAGGUAACCGUAGGUGAACCUGCGGUUGGAUCAUUACCAAAGAAAAACAAAAAAGAAAAACAAAAAGUGAGGGUAAUAUUAUAUCCUCAUUUUUUUUCUUCUUUUUUUUCCAACCUUUUGUGAACUAUAUUUAAACGUUUAUUUGGCGGUUCAGCGAAACUGUAAUAAGCCGCCUCUGGGUGGGCUGCCAAAUGUAUGAAAACCUUAUAUUUAAUAUAUCCAAUCGUUUUGAUUUUUUUAAAGCUGGAUUUUUCGGAAUCCAGGUAAUAAAAGAAAAUUUAAAAACAACUUUUGACAACGGAUCUCUUGGCUCUC